RNAcentral lists this ribosomal RNA (645 nucleotides) under uncultured bacterium. RNAcentral describes it as "bacterial SSU rRNA". It matches the Rfam family "Bacterial small subunit ribosomal RNA", at positions 202 to 842 of the family's 1533-position model. The record is from RNAcentral.
CAAAGGAAGCGAUUCCGGCAACGGAUGGGCAUGCGUGACAUUAGCUAGUUGGCGGGGCAACGGCCCACCAAGGCGACGAUGUCUAGGGGUUCUGAGAGGAAGGUCCCCCACACUGGUACUGAGACACGGACCAGACUCCUACGGGAGGCAGCAGUGAGGAAUAUUGGUCAAUGGGCGCGAGCCUGAACCAGCCAAGUCGCGUGAGGGAUGACGGCCCUACGGGUUGUAAACCUCUUUUGUCGGGGAGCAAAUUCCGCCACGCGUGGCGGAGUCGAGAGUACCCGAAGAAAAAGCAUCGGCUAACUCCGUGCCAGCAGCCGCGGUAAUACGGAGGAUGCGAGCGUUAUCCGGAUUUAUUGGGUUUAAAGGGUGCGUAGGCGGACUGUCAAGUCAGCGGUAAAAUACGGGGGCUCAACCUCCGCCCGCCGUUGAAACUGACGGUCUUGAGUGGGCGAGAAGUAUGCGGAAUGCGUGGUGUAGCGGUGAAAUGCAUAGAUAUCACGCAGAACUCCGAUUGCGAAGGCAGCAUACCGGCGCCCAACUGACGCUGAAGCACGAAAGCGUGGGUAUCGAACAGGAUUAGAUACCCUGGUAGUCCACGCAGUAAACGAUGAAUACUAGCUGUCCGGGGCGAAUGGGCCCUGG